RNAcentral lists this ribosomal RNA (497 nucleotides) under uncultured bacterium. RNAcentral's name for it is "partial 16S ribosomal RNA". It matches the Rfam family "Bacterial small subunit ribosomal RNA", at positions 28 to 507 of the family's 1533-position model. The record is from RNAcentral.
GAUGAACGCUGGCGGCGUGCCUAAUACAUGCAAGUCGAGCGAACAGACGAGGAGCUUGCUCCUCUGACGUUAGCGGCGGACGGGUGAGUAACACGUGGAUAACCUACCUAUAAGACUGGGAUAACUUCGGGAAACCGGAGCUAAUACCGGAUAACAUGUUGAACCGCAUGGUUCAACAGUGAAAGACGGUCUUGCUGUCACUUAUAGAUGGAUCCGCGCCGCAUUAGCUAGUUGGUAAGGUAACGGCUUACCAAGGCAACGAUGCGUAGCCGACCUGGGAGGGUGAUCGGCCACACUGGAACUGAGACACGGUCCAGACUCCUACGGGAGGCAGCAGUAGGGAAUCUUCCGCAAUGGGCGAAAGCCUGACGGAGCGACGCCGCGUGAGUGAUGAAGGUCUUCGGAUCGUAAAACUCUGUUAUUAGGGAAGAACAAAUGUGUAAGUAACUAUGCACGUCUUGACGGUACCUAAUCAGAAAGCCACGGCUAACUACGUG